CGGGGAAACAGAGCACAAAUGGCUCAGAGUCGAACGCAAAGUAUAAAUAAAAGCUCAAUAAAUACUAGUGGAUUAAUCUUUCCGUACCUGUAGGCUUGACUUUUCUCUAGAUUUUUCUCCCCGAGUCUCUUCCUUCCGUUUCUUUCCGGAAACUACUUCAUUACCUUAAAUUGGCAGUUUCAGGUAAAGUAAUUUUGAACAGAAGCGACUUUCGUUUCCCUUACAUCUUGUUUCCCAUUCUGGAAACUUAUUUGCUGUCUGAGGAAGCCAAAUUCAAAGCACUCACUGCCACCUGAGCUCACACCUGGCUGCCUCCUCAGAAAGGAAAUGUUUUCUGGAAAACUUUCUACGCCAGUCAAUACGGGCAGAUUCUGAAGAUAACGAGAUAGGCGCACGUUUCUGUCAACCCAUUCGACGCUGAGUGGCAGAAAUUCUAUGAAGGGGUAAGGACGUCCGGGGAAUAUUUUGCAUCUCAGUUGCUUGGAGUUAACACUGGAUGCCCCCUCCCAGGCCCCGAAAGCUACGACAAGUGCGAAACCCGCCCAGGAGGAGCUUCUGCCGUCCCCGCUGAGCCACAGGUCCAUGGUCGCCGCGCCAAGGGGCCGGCUCUCCUCCGGCGCUCGAAAGGCUAGGCAGGGUGGGGGCGGGGUCGGCCGCGGCGUCACCACUGACGUAACCGCCCCAUCAGGCCGCCGCCGGGGUACCGGUGAGCGAGGGGGUUGGGGGAGCAGGAGCGGAAGGGAAGCAGGUAGGGAGGAGGGCGCGGGAGGAGCGCUAAGAUGGCCGCUCUGGCGAGGACUGGGCCUUGGGCGAGUUGGGAGAAGCAGAGAAAUGGGGACUUGAGGGAGAUGCAGCGUGGAGAUGUACUCGCAAAUGAUCGCGUCUCUGAUGCCUGCGGCUCCCUCUGCGGAGCUGGCGCUCUCGAGAUAAAGCGCAUCCUGCUCCUGGCUUUGAUUGCCGCCAGGUGAUGCUCGAAGCGCCUCUGACAUGCUUUGGAAGGGCCGUUCUAGUCCUCCUUUUAUAAGGAAUGUCU
Molecule: long non-coding RNA, 1033 nt
Organism: Bos taurus (domestic cattle)
Lineage: Eukaryota; Metazoa; Chordata; Mammalia; Artiodactyla; Bovidae
Source: Ensembl